Molecule: transfer RNA, 69 nt
Filed under: Nylanderia otome
Lineage: Eukaryota; Metazoa; Arthropoda; Insecta; Hymenoptera; Formicidae
Description: tRNA-Leu
Rfam family: tRNA
About the family: Transfer RNA (tRNA) molecules are approximately 80 nucleotides in length. Their secondary structure includes four short double-helical elements and three loops (D, anti-codon, and T loops).
Source: RNAcentral
UUUAAUAUGGCAGAAAACUAGUGCAUUGAAUUUAAACCUCAAAAAUAAAGAUUUAAUCUUUUAUUAAAA